Molecule: ribosomal RNA, 467 nt
Filed under: uncultured bacterium
Lineage: Bacteria
Description: partial 16S ribosomal RNA
Rfam family: Bacterial small subunit ribosomal RNA
Source: RNAcentral
GACGAACGCUGGCGGCGUGCUUAACACAUGCAAGUCGAACGGAAAGGCCCUGCUUUUGUGGGGUGCUCGAGUGGCGAAAGGGUGAGUAACACGUGAGUAACCUGCCCUUGACUUUGGGAUAACUUCAGGAAACUGGGGCUAAUACCGGAUAGGAGCUCCUGCUGCAUGGUGGGGGUUGGAAAGUUUCGGCGGUUGGGGAUGGACUCGCGGCUUAUCAGCUUGUUGGUGGGGUAGUGGCUUACCAAGGCUUUGACGGGUAGCCGGCCUGAGAGGGUGACCGGCCACAGUGUGCCUGGGGUGCGGCCCAGACGCCUUCGGGAGGCAGGGGUGGGGACUAUUGCACAAUGGGCGGAGGCCGGAUGCAGCAACGCCGCGUGCGGGAUGACGGCCUUCGGGUUGUAAACCGCUUUCGCCUGUGACGAAGCGUGAGUGACGGUAAUGGGGAAAGAAGCACCGGCUAACUACGU